ACGGAGGGUGCAAGCGUUGUUCGGAAUUAUUGGGCGUAAAGCGCGCGCAGGCGGGCCAUUAAGUCUGAUGUGAAAUCCCUCGGCUCAACCGAGGACGUGCAUUGGAUACUGGUGGUCUUGAGUCCCGGAGAGGGUGGCGGAAUUCCCAGUGUAGAGGUGAAAUUCGUAGAUAUUGGGAGGAACACCGGUGGCGAAGGCGGCCACCUGGACGGUGACUGACGCUGAGGCGCGAAAGCGUGGGUAGCAAACAGG
This 252-nucleotide ribosomal RNA is filed under the name uncultured bacterium. RNAcentral's name for it is "partial 16S ribosomal RNA". It matches the Rfam family "Bacterial small subunit ribosomal RNA", at positions 525 to 776 of the family's 1533-position model. The record is from RNAcentral.